RNAcentral lists this ribosomal RNA (1027 nucleotides) under Foraminifera environmental sample. Its description in RNAcentral is "bacterial SSU rRNA". It matches the Rfam family "Eukaryotic small subunit ribosomal RNA", at positions 1160 to 1828 of the family's 1831-position model. Lineage: Eukaryota; Foraminifera. The record is from RNAcentral.
AAGGGCACCACAAGAACGCGUGGAGNAUGUGGCUUAAUUUGACUCAACGCGGGGAAACUUACCGGGUCCGGACACACUGAGGAUUGACAGGUGCUCGGUAAAAGGGUAAGGUACUUUUUUAAGUACCUUAUUCCUUUUGCCUCAAAUAUGAUAGUCCUUUCAUGAUUGUGUGAUAGGUGGUGCAUGGNCGUUCUUAGUUCGUGGAGUGAUCUGUCUGCUUAAUUGCGUUUCAGAAUAUAGGUUCUUAGCGGCCAUGUUAAUGUAACGAGGCCUCCUUAUGCUUUUUGCCCUUAGGGUUUUAAACGUAAGGUGUUUGCCCUUACAUUUAACAGCCUUUGAAACCUCGAAGGAAACGAACGUGAUCGCAACCUCUUGUUGCCUCUCUUCUACCAUAUUUACCUACGGUAGACUGUUACCUCGUGGACCUUUCCUAUUUAAAGGAAGCCAUGGGGAUAGCAGAGCGGGGUGCUUAACUAGAGGGACCGCCGACCUUUUUAAAUCGGAGGAAGGUUGCGGCAAUAACAGGUCUGUGAUGCCCUUAGAUGUUCCGGGCUGCACACGUGCUACAAUGAUCGUUGCAGUGAGCAUCUUUCAACGCUCGUAAUUAGGACUCGUUCUUUUUACGACACACCUACUUCGAAAGUAAGUAGGUAAUCAAUUCGAAGUAACGAUUUCUCUCGCACACAAAACCUCGUAGCGCCUUGGCUUUAGCACUUAGUGGUUUCGAUCAUUGGGUCGAGCUAAGGAUUGCUACGACGUGCUCUUAUUUUUUUCAUGGUGGGGACAGACCAUUGCAAUUGUUGGUCUCGGUCUUAACUAGGAAUGCCUUGUACGGGUCAUGGUUCAACAGACCACCCGGAAUAUGUCCCUGCCCUUUGUACACACCGCCCGUCGCUCUUACCGAUGGACUUCUCUGUGAGUAUAAGGGACUGGUAUCUUAAUGCUAUGGAAACUUACACGAACAGUGUGGUCUAAAGGAAAGAGAAGUCGUAACAAGGCAUCGGUAGGUGAACCUGCAGAAGGAUCA